Molecule: long non-coding RNA, 1317 nt
Organism: Spinacia oleracea (spinach)
Lineage: Eukaryota; Viridiplantae; Streptophyta; Magnoliopsida; Caryophyllales; Amaranthaceae
Exons: 5
Source: RefSeq, a predicted model, not a curated record
GUUAACACAAAAUGCUAACAACCAGCUGACCAAUAUCUGGAUUAAGCACAAAAAUUGUUGUGCCUCCCGUUUCUAACAGAUGUAGAAAUUUCAUGAAUGAUAAAGCCUCUAAGUCAAAUUCAAUUGAGGAGCAAAUUCACCAAAGAAAUAUGUAUAAUUUUUCAUUUUUUAAAUUCAAAUGAAUUAUUAUGAACUUUGUAACCUUGUUUAUGACAAGGAAAAGGAAAUGUAAUAUAGCAACCUAAGGGUGAGGGCUGUCAUAUGCAGCAGCUUUCUUGUGGAGAUUGUUGCUACAUGGAUGGGUAACGAUUCUGCUAACCAUCCACACCUUGGUGGUUUUUUAGGUGACUUACCAAAUCUGGUAGGCUAAUUACCAACUCUCUAUCUAGGGUUUCCUUAGUGUAAAAUAAUGACUUGUACACCUGCGUUUUUCCCGUUUUGGAUUAGUCUCCUCCUUGUGAUGAAUCUUGAGUGUGCCUCUCUGAUAGUCACUUUGCUAUCGCAUGAAAAUGAACUUGGAAGUAGUCUACUUUAACUCUUAUUUAUUUUCAGGUCCCAUGGAUAUUCGCUACUCUAACCCCUUAUCUGGAAGAAAACGUCAAUUUUCUGUCUUGGAAACUGAUCCAAUGUAUGGAGACUCAAACAGAUAUCCACACUCCCGAUUGGAUGCUCCUUGUUACUGUUAGUAUUAUCGUCAUGUUCUUUUAUGCUUUGUGUCACCAUAGCUUUUUGUUGCUUCUUUCAGUCACAAUUUAAUUCCUCCUAGUGGUCUUACAAACCCCAUAGCUUAUCAUCAACAGCAUAGUGGGUACCCUUCUGGAUCACUUUAUGGAGCCAGAAAUUAUGCAAGCAAUGCUGAGUUUGCAGGUGCAACACUGGGGGCUGGAGCUAUCUUAGUAAACCCCUGGAAUAUCCCAGAGGUUGCUUCUGCAAUAUCCUAUGCAUUAAAUAUGCCAAGUGAAGAAAGGGAAAAGAGGCACCAACUUAAUUUCAUGCAUGUGACAACUCAUACUGCCCACGAGUGGGCAAAGAUGUUUGUAAGUGAGCUUGAAGAAACUGUUGUUGAAGCUCAACUACCGCAACACAAUUAUGGUCACAGCCAUCCUUCCUGUCAAUGUUGCAAUCGAGCAAUAUGUGAAAUCUAUUCAUAUUUCGAGCCAGAGCCUCGUGUGAAACCUUUAAGGGCAUCAAGAAGUAAGGGCAGUAGACGAAGAAAUAUUGGCUUCUCCAUGCAUUCAUAGUAGAAUUUUUUCAUAGUGGAUUUGUAUUGAAAUUGAAUGUUAAUUUGUAUGUUUUUUUACUACUGAAGUAAGACAA